GCUCCAUUCGGCAGCGCUUGUACUAAAGUCGAAACAUACAGGGAAGAUUAGCAUGGCCCCUGUACAAGGAUGGCACGCAAAUUCACGAAGUGUUCCAUAGUUUA
Phyllostomus discolor (pale spear-nosed bat) is the source of this 104-nucleotide small nuclear RNA. The record is from RefSeq and is a predicted model, not a curated record. NCBI's taxonomy places the organism in Eukaryota, Metazoa, Chordata, Mammalia, Chiroptera, Phyllostomidae.